Molecule: ribosomal RNA, 527 nt
Filed under: uncultured bacterium
Lineage: Bacteria
Description: bacterial SSU rRNA
Rfam family: Bacterial small subunit ribosomal RNA
Source: RNAcentral
CCGAGUGCUUGCACUCAAUUGGAAAGAGGAGUGGCGGACGGGUGAGUAACACGUGGGUAACCUACCCAUCAGAGGGGGAUAACACUUGGAAACAGGUGCUAAUACCGCAUAACAGUUUAUGCCGCAUGGCAUAAGAGUGAAAGGCGCUUUCGGGUGUCGCUGAUGGAUGGACCCGCGGUGCAUUAGCUAGUUGGUGAGGUAACGGCUCACCAAGGCCACGAUGCAUAGCCGACCUGAGAGGGUGAUCGGCCACACUGGGACUGAGACACGGCCCAGACUCCUACGGGAGGCAGCAGUAGGGAAUCUUCGGCAAUGGACGAAAGUCUGACCGAGCAACGCCGCGUGAGUGAAGAAGGUUUUCGGAUCGUAAAACUCUGUUGUUAGAGAAGAACAAGGACGUUAGUAACUGAACGUCCCCUGACGGUAUCUAACCAGAAAGCCACGGCUAACUACGUGCCAGCAGCCGCGGUAAUACGUAGGUGGCAAGCGUUGUCCGGAUUUAUUGGGCGUAAAGCGAGCGCAGGCGG